RNAcentral lists this ribosomal RNA (600 nucleotides) under uncultured Bacteroidota bacterium. RNAcentral's name for it is "bacterial SSU rRNA". It matches the Rfam family "Bacterial small subunit ribosomal RNA", at positions 54 to 647 of the family's 1533-position model. Lineage: Bacteria; Pseudomonadati; Bacteroidota. The record is from RNAcentral.
CAUGCAAGUCGAGGGGCAGCAUAAAUUACUUGUAAUUUGAUGGCGACCGGCGAACGGGUGCGUAACGCGUAUGCAACUUACCUUUUACUAGAGAAUAGCCAAGAGAAAUUUUGAUUAAUGCUCUAUGUUCUUAUUUACUCGCAUGAGUAAGUAAGCAAAGCUCCGGCGGUAAAAGAUGGGCAUGCGUCCUAUUAGCUUGUAGGUGAGGUAAUGGCUCACCUAAGCUCCGAUAGGUAGGGGUCCUGAGAGGGAGAUCCCCCACACUGGUACUGAGACACGGACCAGACUUCUACGGAAGGCAGCAGUAAGGAAUAUUGGACAAUGGAGGCAACUCUGAUCCAGCCAUGCCGCGUGAAGGAAGACGGCCUUAUGGGUUGUAAACUUCUUUUAUACAGGAAGAAACCUUUCCACGUGUGGAAAGCUGACGGUACUGUAAGAAUAAGGAUCGGCUAACUCCGUGCCAGCAGCCGCGGUAAUACGGAGGAUCCAAGCGUUAUCCGGAAUUAUUGGGUUUAAAGGGUCCGCAGGCUGUUUGUUAAGUCAGAGGUGAAAUCCUACCGCUCAACGGUAGAACUGCCUUUGAUACUGGCAAACUUGAGU